AUCGCUUUUCAGCCUUUUGGCUAAGAUCAAGUAUAGUAUCUGUUCUUAUCAGUUUAAUAUCUGAUAUGUUCUCUAUUUGAGAGGUAAAGGUAAAGGUAGGUUUUCCCCUGACAUUAAGUCCAGUCAUGUCUGACUCUGGGGUGUGGUGCUCAUCUCAAUUUCUAAGCCAAAGAGCCAGCGUUGUCCGUA
Molecule: small nuclear RNA, 189 nt
Organism: Anolis sagrei ordinatus
Lineage: Eukaryota; Metazoa; Chordata; Lepidosauria; Squamata; Anolidae
Product: U2 spliceosomal RNA
Source: RefSeq, a predicted model, not a curated record